GGGCAAACGCUGGGCGGCGUGCCUAGUACAUGCAUGUCGAGCGCGGGAAGCGAGCUGAUCCCUUCGGGGUGACGCUCGUGGAACGAGCGGCGGACGGGUGAGUAACACGUGGGCAACCUGCCUGUAAGAUCGGGAUAACUCCGGGAAACCGGGGCUAAUACCGGGUAAUACUUUCUUUCGCAUGAAGGAAAGUUGAAAGAUGGCUUCUCGCUAUCACUUACAGAUGGGCCCGCGGCGCAUUAGCUAGUUGGUGAGGUAACGGCUCACCAAGGCGACGAUGCGUAGCCGACCUGAGAGGGUGAUCGGCCACACUGGGACUGAGACACGGCCCAGACUCCUACGGGAGGCAGCAGUAGGGAAUCUUCCGCAAUGGACGAAAGUCUGACGGAGCAACGCCGCGUGAACGAUGAAGGUCUUCGGAUCGUAAAGUUCUGUUGUUAGGGAACAACAAGUACCGUGCGAAUAGAGCGGUACCUUGACGGUACCUAACGAGGAAGGCCCGGCUAACUACGUGCCAGCUCCCGCGGUAAUACGAAGGGGCAAGGCGUUGUCCCGAAUUUGUUGGGCGCAACGCCGCACUCAUUUGGUUCCUUAAUUUUGA
RNAcentral lists this ribosomal RNA (601 nucleotides) under Halobacillus sp. HPC963. RNAcentral's name for it is "bacterial SSU rRNA". It matches the Rfam family "Bacterial small subunit ribosomal RNA", at positions 27 to 592 of the family's 1533-position model. The record is from RNAcentral. Lineage: Bacteria; Bacillati; Bacillota; Bacilli; Caryophanales; Bacillaceae.